This 287-nucleotide ribosomal RNA is filed under the name Clostridioides difficile. RNAcentral's name for it is "partial 16S ribosomal RNA". It matches the Rfam family "Bacterial small subunit ribosomal RNA", at positions 727 to 1017 of the family's 1533-position model. Lineage: Bacteria; Bacillati; Bacillota; Clostridia; Peptostreptococcales; Peptostreptococcaceae. The record is from RNAcentral.
CUCUGGACUGUAACUGACGCUGAGGCACGAAAGCGUGGGCAGCAAACAGGAUUAGAUACCCUGGUAGUCCACGCCGUAAACGAUGAGUACUAGGUGUCGGGGGUUACCCCCUCCGUCGCCGCAGCUAACGCACUAAGUACUCUGCCUGGGAAGUACGCCCGCAAUAGUGAAACCCAACGGAAUUGUCGGGGACCCGCACAAGUAGCGGUGCAUGUGGCCUACUUCCAAGCAACGCGUACAACCUUACCUAAGACAUCCCAAUGACAUCUCCUUAAUCGGAGAGUUCC